This 429-nucleotide ribosomal RNA is filed under the name uncultured bacterium. RNAcentral describes it as "bacterial SSU rRNA". It matches the Rfam family "Bacterial small subunit ribosomal RNA", at positions 355 to 776 of the family's 1533-position model. The record is from RNAcentral.
GUAGGAAUAUUGGUCAAUGGGCGCAAGCCUGAACCAGCGAUGCCGCGUGUGCGAAGAAGGCCCUAGGGUUGUAAAGCACUUUCAGUCGUGAAGAAAAUCUAGUGAUUAAUACUCGCUAGACUUGACGUUAACGACACAAGAAGAUCCGGCUAACUCCGUGCCAGCAGCCGCGGUAAUACGGAGGGAUCGAACGUUAAUCGGAAUUACUGGGCGUAAAGCGCGCGUAGGCGGUUCGAUAAGUGGGGUGUGAAAUCCCCGGGCUCAACCCGGGAACUGCAUUCCAAACUGUCGAACUAGAGUAUGGUAGAGGGAGGUAGAAUUUCUUGUGUAGCGGUGAAAUGCGUAGAUAUAAGAAGGAAUACCGAUGGCGAAGGCAGCCUCCUGGACCAAUACUGACGCUGAGGUGCGAAAGCGUGGGGAGCAAACAGG